UAGGGAAUCUUCGGCAAUGGGGGCAACCCUGACCGAGCAACGCCGCGUGAGUGAAGAAGGUUUUCGGAUCGUAAAGCUCUGUUGUAAGAGAAGAACGUGUGUGAGAGUGGAAAGUUCACACAGUGACGGUAACUUACCAGAAAGGGACGGCUAACUACGUGCCAGCAGCCGCGGUAAUACGUAGGUCCCGAGCGUUGUCCGGAUUUAUUGGGCGUAAAGCGAGCGCAGGCGGUUUAAUAAGUCUGAAGUUAAAGGCAGUGGCUUAACCAUUGUUCGCUUUGGAAACUGUUAAACUUGAGUGCAGAAGGAGAGAGUGGAAUUCCAUGUGUAGCGGUGAAAUGCGUAGAUAUAUGGAGGAACAACGGUGGCGAAAGCGGCUCUCUGGUCUGUAACUGACGCUGAGGCUCGAAAGCGUGGGGAGCAAACAGG
Molecule: ribosomal RNA, 429 nt
Filed under: bacterium
Lineage: Bacteria
Description: partial 16S ribosomal RNA
Rfam family: Bacterial small subunit ribosomal RNA
Source: RNAcentral